This 3272-nucleotide long non-coding RNA is filed under the name Mytilus galloprovincialis (Mediterranean mussel). Lineage: Eukaryota; Metazoa; Mollusca; Bivalvia; Mytilida; Mytilidae. The record is from RNAcentral.
AAAGUACAGUAUUGAAAUCAAUGGUGAACAUGUGCAUGUAGGUGUGAAUGUACUACAAAAAAGAACUGAUAUCAAAGUAAGUUCAUCUUUAGAAUUGCAGUUAAUUUUGAUAAUACAUUGUAAUAUGAUAUAAUCUAUUUAAAACUUUUUAGUUUUAUUGUAAUGUUUUAUAUAAAUCACUGUGUUUCAUUGUUACAGCGGAUAUAGCUACUAACCAAGCUGUAGUGAUCGAUUUUUCUUCUGACAUGGAAUGAAAAUCUCUGUUUUGUUUACUUAAUAUAAAUGUGUACUUCAAUCUAAACAUAAUGGUUGUUUUAAGGAAUGAUUUGGUCGUAGGUUGAUGAUAAGAUCAGUUUCAUUUUUUUUUCCAAAAACGAGAAUCAAUGCUUACUCUAAAAAUGUGCAAAUACUUGUCAAAGAAGUUUGCGCUUGUCUCAUCAAAUAUGAUUCUAUAUUCAUUGCAGCAACUCUUUUUCUGAUAGAAGGCCACUGUGUGUUCGUAAUAUGUAUAGCUGUUUGUCACUGUUUCAAUAGUUUGCAUUGAAAUCUUUCAUACAUAUAUAUGCUAUUUUUUCAAUAUUUUAUUCCGAAAGGAGGGAUGUGUAUGGUGUAUAGCUGACCACAUAAAUCCUUGUGUACGGUGCAUAGUUAAAUGCAUGUACGAUAUAAAGCCUUUCACACUUCGAAAUACCUAUACACCAGCUAUAUUUGGCAUGUUUGGUGUACCGAUGAUACACACUGAUAAUCGAAUAUGUAAACUGUUGCUUAUUUUUACGUCAAUCCGAUUUUAAGUAUGCUUCAAGGCAUUCUUCCCCUGCUCCCCUGAUAUUGCUCCAUAAAAUAUUUGCCACUGGACAUUAGAAUAAGUAAUAAAAAUCAACAGCUUUUUCAAUGAACCAGCAUAUAAAUAUGAAGAGAUGAGGUAUGAUCUUCAAUGUGACCAAAUAUCAAUUAAAAGACCAUAGGACAAAGAUCAUUAAGAUGUAAACAUUCACUUGUCACUGUACAGCCUUAAACAAUGAUCAAAAUCCAUACCAUAAAGUAACCUAUAAAGAUAAAGAAUGUUAACCAAUGAAAAAAUUAAAACUACAUGUACAUACAGUUAUGGAAGACAGCACCCAACAUAUAUAUAAGAACCUACUCUCAAAAUUAACCAGAAAUGACUAGACACAUCAGUCAUUGUCUAUAGGUACCCCGGUACUUAAACAUAAAAUGUGCAAAAAUUUUGUUUUCUCAAACUGAAAUAUCUAUCCUUCCAGGAAUUUAGUGUAAAAACAUUUGUCACUUGAAGCAGUUUAGGAAAGUAUGACUUAUAAUGCCAAAAUAUUGAACUUAUCAGAAGGAUAUUAAACCAUAACAGCGUUAAUGAAUAUAUGUAUUGCUAUUUGCUGAGAUCUAUUUUUUGACAAAAGCGAGAGAUAGCGAUUUUAGAUUCUGUCUGUGGUAUGGUCAACAUUUAGGUUUAGUCUAGAUCUGUUUAAAGUUUUUUUGGACAUCAAUAACUUUGUCAAACAUACAUGGAUUUUUAUAAAAUUGGAUGACAUGUACUUUAUUUUAUCUGACCAACUUUGUUUUAUCUGACCACUAGAACACACAUAUUAUGUAUUUGUUUUUUUCUGCUUAAACCCGGCCCGUAAUUCAUAAUUUAUUGAAACUUUCCACAUAUUAAUCCCAUUGUGCAUCUCCUUUUUAUGCCCUUGCUGAAGCAGAGGGGCAUUUAAUUUUUGUCUGUCUUUACAUCCUUACAUACUUACAUUGCAAAAUUGGUUUCCAUUCUCUACAUGUAGUUCUAUUGUUUGCCUCAAUCAAAUGAUGUAAAACUUGUAUACAAUGCCUAUUACCACAAAAUGCAGAUCAAGUUUGAAUUUAAGUGGCAUCCCUUUUACCGUUCUAGAGAAAUGCCCCUAAAAAUUCCUAAAUUUUUCAUUUCUCAAUCUGCUGAGCUUUCCCGAGGGUAUCACCAGCCCAGUAGUCAGCACUUUUUUGUGCUGACAUGAAUUAUCAUUGAUAUGGUUAUAUUUAUAAAUUAACUGUUCACAAAAUUUAGAAUUUUUGAAAUACUUAGGCUUUUCUACCUCAGGCCUAAUACCUUAGCUUGAUUAAGAAAAACUUUUAGGAAUUUUGGUCCUUAAUGCUCUUCAACUUUGUACUUUAUUAGGCCUUUUAAACUUUUUUGGAUUCAAGCGUCACUGAUGAGUCUUUUGUAGACAAAACUCUCGUCUGGCAUACAUACAAAAUUUAGUCCUUGGUAUCUAUGAUGAGUUUAUUUACUUAAGGUUUGCCUCAACCAAAUGUUAUGAAUCUUAAACACAAUGCUUAUUAGUUAUAGUACAAAUGUAUAACAUCAGAACAAAGAUCACUUUUGGAUUUUGGUGACAUCAUUUUUAUUGUAUAGAGUUAUGCCCCUUUACAAAUGGAAAAAAAUGGUGAUUUUUUUAGUUUCCAUUCUCUAACUAAGAGUUUGCCUCUCCUAUAUACAAUAAACAUAGACAUUACGGCAGUUUUUUUAACAUUCUAAAACUAACACGUCCACUUGUAUUUUUGUCCAUCUGAUGAGUUUAGCCUUUUUCAACUGAAUUUUAUAGUUCGUUCUCAUGUUGUACUGUUAUACCACUGUCCCAGGUUAGGGGAAGGGUUGUUUUACAUUGUCAUAUCGGGGCCUUAUAUAGCCAAAUAUUUGGUAUGGGCUUUACUCAUUGUUGAAGGCCGUACAGUGACCAAUAGCAUGUAUAGUUGUUAAUGUCCGUGUCAUUUUGGUCUCUUGUAGAUAUAGACAGUUGUCUCAUUGGCAAUCAUUGUUGUACAUUGUCAUUUCAGGGCCUUUUAUAACUAACUAUGCGGUAUGGGCUUUGCUCAUUGUUAAAGGGCGUACGAUGACCUAUAGUUGUUAAUGUCCAUGUCAUUUUGGUCUCUUGUAGAUAUAGACAGUUGGCAAUCAUACCACAUCUUUUUUUUUUAUAUGCGUAUACAUUAUAAGCUGUUUGAGACCUCUUAAGUGAAUUACACUUUUAAUUAUUAUCGAAUUAUUUAAUUUACUUUUUUUUUUAAGUCAAAUUUAUAUUAUUUAUGAAUAUUUUAUUUCAGUUACCAUUCACAGUGAACAUGGUGAAGAAUAACCAAUAAAGGACAUAGAAGACUACCUCACAAACAUGGAAAAACUUCACAAACAUUGGAAAUAUUACAAGAAAAACCCAAUAUUUUGAUUCACGAAGAAGACAUUCAUGUACAUGUUGUACUUUGAAAACUGAAGAAAUAAAAUUGUGAAUAAAAAU